GUGGGCUACGGAGACAUGGUCCCCACCACCAUCGGGGGGAAAAUCGUGGGCUCCCUGUGUGCCAUCGCGGGGGUGUUAACCAUUGCCUUACCCGUGCCCGUCAUCGUCUCCAAC
This is a non-coding RNA of Calypte anna (Anna's hummingbird), 114 nucleotides long. The record is from Rfam. NCBI's taxonomy places the organism in Eukaryota, Metazoa, Chordata, Aves, Apodiformes, Trochilidae.